This 450-nucleotide ribosomal RNA is filed under the name uncultured Ochrobactrum sp. RNAcentral describes it as "bacterial SSU rRNA". It matches the Rfam family "Bacterial small subunit ribosomal RNA", at positions 9 to 507 of the family's 1533-position model. Lineage: Bacteria; Pseudomonadati; Pseudomonadota; Alphaproteobacteria; Hyphomicrobiales; Brucellaceae. The record is from RNAcentral.
GAGUUGAUCCUGGCUCAGAACGAACGCUGGCGGCAGGCUUAACACAUGCAAGUCGAGCGCCCCGCAAGGGGAGCGGCAGACGGGUGAGUAACGCGUGGGAAUCUACCUUUUGCUACGGAAUAACUCAGGGAAACUUGUGCUAAUACCGUAUGUGCCCUUCGGGGGAAAGAUUUAUCGGCAAAGGAUGAGCCCGCGUUGGAUUAGCUAGUUGGUGGGGUAAAGGCCCACCAAGGCGACGAUCCAUAGCUGGUCUGAGAGGAUGAUCAGCCACACUGGGACUGAGACACGGCCCAGACUCCUACGGGAGGCAGCAGUGGGGGAAUAUUGGACAAUGGGCGCAAGCCUGAUCCAGCCAUGCCGCGUGAGUGAUGAAGGCCCUAGGGUUGUAAAGCUCUUUCACCGGUGAAGAUAAUGACGGUAACCGGAGAAGAAGCCCCGGCUAACUUCGUG